ACGCGUAGAAUCUGCCUUCAGGACGGGGAUAACAGUUGGAAACGACUGCUAAGACCGGAUGUGCCGAGAGGUGAAAUAUUUAUAGCCUGAAGAUGAGCUCGCGUCCGAUUAGCUAGUUGGUAAGGUAAAAGCUUACCAAGGCGACGAUCGGUAGCUGGUCUGAGAGGACGAUCAGCCACACUGGGACUGAGACACGGCCCAGACUCCUACGGGAGGCAGCAGUGGGGAAUUUUCCGCAAUGGGCGAAAGCCUGACGGAGCAAGACCGCGUGGGGGAGGAAGGUUCUUGGAUUGUAAACCCCUUUUCUCAGGGAAGAACACAAUGACGGUACCUGAGGAAUCAGCAUCGGCUAACUCCGUGCCAGCAGCCGCGGUAAUACGGAGGAUGCAAGCGUUAUCCGGAAUAAUUGGGCGUAAAGCGUCCGUAGGUGGCUGUUCAAGUCUGCCGUUAAAGACCGGGGCUUAACCCUGGAAAGGCGGUGGAAACUGAACGGCUAGAGUGCAGUAGGGGUAGAGGGAAUUCCCAGUGUAGCGGUGAAAUGCGUAGAGAUUGGGAAGAACACCGGUGGCGAAAGCGCUCUGCUGGACUGCAACUGACACUGAGGGACGAAAGCUAGGGGAGCGAAAGGGA
This 630-nucleotide ribosomal RNA is filed under the name Funiculus sociatus HSN060. RNAcentral describes it as "bacterial SSU rRNA". It matches the Rfam family "Bacterial small subunit ribosomal RNA", at positions 115 to 777 of the family's 1533-position model. The record is from RNAcentral. Lineage: Bacteria; Bacillati; Cyanobacteriota; Cyanophyceae; Coleofasciculales; Coleofasciculaceae.